Molecule: ribosomal RNA, 253 nt
Filed under: uncultured bacterium
Lineage: Bacteria
Description: partial 16S ribosomal RNA
Rfam family: Bacterial small subunit ribosomal RNA
Source: RNAcentral
UACAGAGGGUGCGAGCGUUGUUCGGAAUUAUUGGGCGUAAAGGGCGCGUAGGCGGUGCGGUAAGUCACCUGUGAAAUCUCCUGGCUCAACUGGGAGCUUGCAGGCGAAACUGCCGUGCUGGAGUGUGGGAGAGGUGCGUGGAAUUCCCGGUGUAGCGGUGAAAUGCGUAGAUAUCAGGAGGAACACCUGUGGCGAAAGCGGCUCACUGGACCACAACUGACGCUGAUGCACGAAAGCUAGGGGAGCAAACAGG